CCUACGGGUGGCUGCAGUGGGGAAUAUUGCACAAUGGGCGCAAGCCUGAUGCAGCCAUGCCGCGUGUGUGAAGAAGGCCUUCGGGUUGUAAAGCACUUUCAGCGGGGAGGAAGGCGUUAAGGUUAAUAACCUUGCCGAUUGACGUUACCCGCAGAAGAAGCACCGGCUAACUCCGUGCCAGCAGCCGCGGUAAUACGGAGGGUGCAAGCGUUAAUCGGAAUUACUGGGCGUAAAGCGCACGCAGGCGGUCUGUCAAGUCGGAUGUGAAAUCCCCGGGCUCAACCUGGGAACUGCAUUCGGAAACUGGCAGGCUAGAGUCUUGUAGAGGGGAGUAGAAUUCCAGGUGUAGCGGUGAAAUGCGUAGAGAUCUGGAGGAAUACCGGUGGCGAAGGCGGCCCCCUGGACAAAGACUGACGCUCAGGUGCGAAAGCGUGGGGAGCAAACAGGAUUAGAUACCCGAGUAGUC
This 466-nucleotide ribosomal RNA is filed under the name uncultured Klebsiella sp. RNAcentral's name for it is "bacterial SSU rRNA". It matches the Rfam family "Bacterial small subunit ribosomal RNA", at positions 338 to 795 of the family's 1533-position model. Lineage: Bacteria; Pseudomonadati; Pseudomonadota; Gammaproteobacteria; Enterobacterales; Enterobacteriaceae. The record is from RNAcentral.